CCUUUCUUUUCCUUUUUUCCCCGCUGUGCCUGAAUCUCCCGGGACACUUAGACGGCUGGAGCCUCCCGACUCCAAGGCGGGCGACGGCAAAGUUAAACGCCAGCGCGCUGCGGUCCCCGGGCACCGAGGCGUCCCCGCUCCCGCCACCCACACAGGGCGCCAAGUGCCCCGACCCGCGAGUGACGAGGACGCACAGCCUGGAAGCCUCGCGGCCCUCCAGAUGGACUCGGAGCGCCCCUGGAGGCUACAGUGACCUAAGCUCUAGGAAGGCCGGGUCCUGGACGCCGCGUGCUGCUGUCCGCCGCCGACCGGUGUCCUCGCAGAGAUAACCUGGCUGAACUCACCGCCCAGCGCUAUGUCAGUUCUCCCUCAUGACAACCCAAAACUUGACCGGAUUUGUGUUCUGCAGAGAGGAAAAAAAAAAGCGGCCACCGAACACCAGUGCAGUAGCCAGGAUGGGCCUGUGGCUCUGGCUGCAGCCUCCAGGGACACCAGCUGGAGAGAAGGAAGCCACGCAUGGAGAGCGGCCAGGCUCAAAAUAUCUUAAAGAAAAUGGAACUCGGAGUCAGUCAUCUGUUCUCAACGUGGUCAUCUCAAAAAUAUGAGCACACGGAAGUUUUCUUCCUUCUUGUCAGUUUUGAGUCCAAUAUCAAUACUGUUGUCCUGUGAAAGAUUUUAAGAUUUAAAUGUUUUUUCAUGUAAUUUCCUGAUGUCUUGAUUGUUGCUUCUAUUUUGUUCAUCAAAACCAAACAGAGUGGAGGUUGCUCUGGGGCUGGAUGGAUGGCCAGUCAUUAAAAUCAAUGCCUUAUUAGUCUGCCUUAAAAAAAAAAAAAA
RNAcentral lists this long non-coding RNA (834 nucleotides) under Homo sapiens (human). RNAcentral describes it as "FNDC1 antisense RNA 1 (FNDC1-AS1)". The record is from RNAcentral. Lineage: Eukaryota; Metazoa; Chordata; Mammalia; Primates; Hominidae.